Molecule: ribosomal RNA, 1454 nt
Filed under: uncultured organism
Description: 16S ribosomal RNA
Rfam family: Bacterial small subunit ribosomal RNA
Source: RNAcentral
CUCAGAUUGAACGCUGGCGGCAGGCCUAACACAUGCAAGUCGAGCGGUAGCACAGAGAGCUUGCUCUCGGGUGACGAGCGGCGGACGGGUGAGUAAUGUCUGGGAAACUGCCUGAUGGAGGGGGAUAACUACUGGAAACGGUAGCUAAUACCGCAUAACGUCGCAAGACCAAAGUGGGGGACCUUCGGGCCUCAUGCCAUCAGAUGUGCCCAGAUGGGAUUAGCUAGUAGGUGAGGUAACGGCUCACCUAGGCGACGAUCCCUAGCUGGUCUGAGAGGAUGACCAGCCACACUGGAACUGAGACACGGUCCAGACUCCUACGGGAGGCAGCAGUGGGGAAUAUUGCACAAUGGGCGCAAGCCUGAUGCAGCCAUGCCGCGUGUAUGAAGAAGGCCUUCGGGUUGUAAAGUACUUUCAGCGGGGAGGAAGGCGAUAAGGUUAAUAACCUUGUCGAUUGACGUUACCCGCAGAAGAAGCACCGGCUAACUCCGUGCCAGCAGCCGCGGUAAUACGGAGGGUGCAAGCGUUAAUCGGAAUUACUGGGCGUAAAGCGCACGCAGGCGGUCUGUCAAGUCGGAUGUGAAAUCCCCGGGCUCAACCUGGGAACUGCAUUCGAAACUGGCAGGCUAGAGUCUUGUAGAGGGGGGUAGAAUUCCAGGUGUAGCGGUGAAAUGCGUAGAGAUCUGGAGGAAUACCGGUGGCGAAGGCGGCCCCCUGGACAAAGACUGACGCUCAGGUGCGAAAGCGUGGGGAGCAAACAGGAUUAGAUACCCUGGUAGUCCACGCCGUAAACGAUGUCGAUUUGGAGGUUGUGCCCUUGAGGCGUGGCUUCCGGAGCUAACGCGUUAAAUCGACCGCCUGGGGAGUACGGCCGCAAGGUUAAAACUCAAAUGAAUUGACGGGGGCCCGCACAAGCGGUGGAGCAUGUGGUUUAAUUCGAUGCAACGCGAAGAACCUUACCUGGUCUUGACAUCCACAGAACUUAGCAGAGAUGCUUUGGUGCCUUCGGGAACUGUGAGACAGGUGCUGCAUGGCUGUCGUCAGCUCGUGUUGUGAAAUGUUGGGUUAAGUCCCGCAACGAGCGCAACCCUUAUCCUUUGUUGCCAGCGGUUAGGCCGGGAACUCAAAGGAGACUGCCAGUGAUAAACUGGAGGAAGGUGGGGAUGACGUCAAGUCAUCAUGGCCCUUACGACCAGGGCUACACACGUGCUACAAUGGCGCAUACAAAGAGAAGCGACCUCGCGAGAGCAAGCGGACCUCAUAAAGUGCGUCGUAGUCCGGAUUGGAGUCUGCAACUCGACUCCAUGAAGUCGGAAUCGCUAGUAAUCGUAGAUCAGAAUGCUACGGUGAAUACGUUCCCGGGCCUUGUACACACCGCCCGUCACACCAUGGGAGUGGGUUGCAAAAGAAGUAGGUAGCUUAACCUUCGGGAGGGCGCUUACCACUUUGUGAUU